Phalaenopsis equestris is the source of this 837-nucleotide long non-coding RNA. RefSeq lists it as uncharacterized. The record is from RefSeq and is a predicted model, not a curated record. NCBI's taxonomy places the organism in Eukaryota, Viridiplantae, Streptophyta, Magnoliopsida, Asparagales, Orchidaceae. The transcript is spliced from 3 exons.
CCAUUUUCCCGCCCACCCCUUUAGGGCUCUGUGCCCCAACCUCGGAGCUCGGACUCGUAAUCACUCAUCUAUUUCUAGCAGCAGAGAAUUAGAAGGCAAUAAGCUCCCACCGAUCCCUCGGCUCUCAUCAAUGGCGAUGAAAUCUCGUUACAUCGCCGUAAUUUUUAAUGGUGAGGGUGAAGAUCCUUCCAUCAAGACGACGGUGAUGAAUCUUUCUCCGAUAGAUUUGGAUGCGAAAAGGCUCUCGGAAAUCUUAUCUCGGAGAAGGUUGGAGUCGUUGGAUCAAAGAAGGUUACAAGGCCGCGCGGCCAUGCUCGAUAUGGCAAGAGGACCUUGUGGAAGUACCAUGGAUUUAGCCAAUAUCGGAAUUGGGGAACUUAUUUGGAUGAUCGGAUGAGCUAUAGCAGAGUGGGGAAUGGUACUGGGGAAGAUGAAGCGCCUAAACAGAAGGUAAUAAACAUCUUCACAUUUGAUCAGAUUCAAUAUUAUUCCGUAUUUGCGUGCCAUUAAUUCCUUUCGUCGUCGUCGCAUCUUUCUAGCCAGACUGAAAUUGUUGUAGCUGUUAACAUACCCAAACUUCUUUAGGUGUAGGAAGACGUUUUCACUUCCAUUAAUUUCCUUAAAUGUUCAUUUAAUCAUAAAUUUACAUUAAUGAUAAAUAUUCUUAAUACAAAUUUCAGCGUAAGAACAUCAGGAAUAGAGAAUGAUUUAAGCGUCUCUAUAGCAAAUUGGGAAAUAAUAAAAUCGAUGAAAAAGUUUGAGCCUAAACUCGCGCAUACGAUUUGGCUCGCUGAAAUCGCGAGUGCCCCUUCCACUGAAAAUGAUCCCCGUCGAUCA